This 259-nucleotide non-coding RNA is filed under the name Porphyromonas gingivalis. The record is from RNAcentral. RNAcentral also lists the same sequence under 1 other name. Lineage: Bacteria; Pseudomonadati; Bacteroidota; Bacteroidia; Bacteroidales; Porphyromonadaceae.
CUUUGUUCCCAUCGUAGUGGUCCCUGCUCGUCUCGAACAAGCUGAGUGGGGUGUAAGAGGGAAUCGGGUGAGAAUCCCGAGCAGUCCCGCUGCUGUAAGCUUUUACCGCCGUGUCGGUUUUGACAUGCGGACUCUUGUCGCUUUCCAAAUGAUGCCACUGUUCAUUCUCCACUAUUAGAGGUGGAGCUGAAUGGGAAGGCGCGACAAACAGAAAAGAGAUGAAGUAAGCCAGAAUACCUGCCUCUACGAGUUGCCUAUA